This 1108-nucleotide long non-coding RNA is filed under the name Coturnix japonica (Japanese quail). RNAcentral describes it as "lncRNA (ENSCJPG00005015993.1)". Lineage: Eukaryota; Metazoa; Chordata; Aves; Galliformes; Phasianidae. The record is from RNAcentral.
GCUGUAAUGGAACAGAGAGAGAUGAGAGUGGAAACAGGAAUCCUUCUGCACCGUGUGGGAAGGUGAGCUUGACAAUGGCACUGAGGAAUUUAACGAGUCGGAUGCAGAGCCAAGAGGCCACACUGGGUGGAGUGCUAAGUAUACAAACCCAACCUGUGGCUGAAUGCCUUGCCUGACCUGCAGAAUGCUCCCAGACCCAUCCCCAGCUCUGUGCAGAAGGGCCUCUAUCAACAGGCAAGCAAGGAAUGAAGCAGAGCACUUGGCAGUGCUGGGCUGCCUGGGCAGGCACCAACCUCUGCAGCAUACAGCAAUUAAACGAGAGCUGCUUUCAACCAGCAGUGUGGUUACCUCAGCAUACUUGGCGUGAGAAGGAAAUGAAGCUGAAGGCAUUUGGAGUCUUUCUCCCUCUGCUGUUUUUUCCAUCAGAGGACUUUGCAGUACAUCUUUCUUUGUGCACCCUGUUUUCUAGAGGCUGAAUCAAGCUCCCCUGUGCCCCCAUCUGUCAGUCACGCAGGGGACUUAUUUGGAACUACGAUGGUUUCCAUUACUGGCAACAGAGACCUCUCCCCUGCUGAGGCAGCUUCACAGCACGGAGCUGGUUGCCUUGGGAUGCACAGGCACGGUGUGCUUCAUCCAGGAGAUUUCAGAACCUACAUUCAGAGGACUGAAGCCCUGCUGAACACUCAAGGGUGAGAAUAAGUCUCAAAAACUACUUCUGAUUUAACCCCAUAACUAGAAAGCCAGGCAACUGGAAUCUAUCUGAAACUCAGCUGGUCCUAUCUAUACCUCAGGGUGAUGUCCAGCUCAGAGUCUAGCUCUGAGCACAUGAUCCACAUCAACUUUGGUGGCAAUUUUAGAAGCCGGAAGAAACAGUUGUUUUUUCCUUCCCCAAACCCCUGCGUGUUGCAUUCGGUGAUCUGCAGACAUCUGUGACAAGCUGCUGAACAAUUACACAACAUCUGGGCUUUCCUCACCUUACAUAUAGAGACAGCCUUGAUACCACAUGAAGCCACUGAACCGAGGUCAUUCAUUUCCCAACAGCAAAUUGAACUCAGCUGAGGAUGAUCUUCUUGUGGAUUCAGAAUAAAUAAAAAGCAGAGGGGGAACA